AUACGGGAUGAGCUCGCGAGACAUUUAGUUAAGUUGGCGGGGUAACGGCCCACCAAGACCGAGAUGUCUAGGGGAAUUGAGAGGUUGGUCCCCCACACUGGAACUGAGACACGGUCCAGACUCCUACGGGAGGCAGCAGUGAGGAAUAUUGGACAAUGGCCGGAAGGCUGAUCCAGCCAUGCCGCGUGAAGGAAUAAGGUCCUAUGGAUAGUAAACUUCUUUUGUACGAGAGCAAUAAGUGUCACGAGUGACACGAUGAGAGUAUCGUACGAAUAAGCAUCGGCUAACUCCGUGCCAGCAGCCGCGGUAAUACGGAGGAUGCGAGCGUUAUCCGGAUUUAUUGGGUUUAAAGGGUGCGUAGGCGGGAUUUUAAGUCAGCGGUGAAACGCAAGGGCUCAACCCUUGACCUGCCGUUGAAACUGGAGUUCUUGAAUGCGGAUGCUGUGGGAGGAAUGUGUGGUGUAGCGGUGAAAUGCAUAGAUAUCACACAGAACACCGAUUGCGAAGGCAUCUCACAAAUCCGUGAUUGACGCUGAGGCACGAAAGUGUGGGGAUCAAACAGGAUUAGAUACCCUGGUAGUCCACACUGUAAACGAUGAUAACUCGCUGUCGGCGAUACACAGUCGGUGGCCAAGCGAAAGCGAUAAGUUAUCCACCUGGGGAGUACGACCGCAAGGUUGAAACUCAAAGGAAUUGACGGGGGCCCGCACAAGCGGAGGAACAUGUGGUUUAAUUCGAUGAUACGCGAGGAACCUUACCCGGGCUCGAACGGCAAGUGAACGACACAGAGAUGUGAAGGUCCUUCGGGACACUUGUCGAGGUGCUGCAUGGUUGUCGUCAGCUCGUGCCGUGAGGUGUCGGCUUAAGUGCCAUAACGAGCGCAACCCUUGCCAUUAGUUACCAGCAUGUAAUGAUGGGGACUCUAGUGGGACUGCCACCGUAAGGUGUGAGGAGGGGGGGGAUGACGUCAAAUCAGCACGGCCCUUACGUCCGGGGCGACACACGUGUUACAAUGGUGGGUACAGAGGGCAGCUACCUGGUGACAGGAUGCAAAUCUCGAAAACCCAUCUCAGUUCGGAUCGGAGUCUGCAACUCGACUCCGUGAAGUUGGAUUCGCUAGUAAUCGCGCAUCAGCCAUGGCGCGGUGAAUACGAUGCCGGGCCUUGCACACACCGCCCGUCA
This 1182-nucleotide ribosomal RNA is filed under the name uncultured bacterium. RNAcentral describes it as "bacterial SSU rRNA". It matches the Rfam family "Bacterial small subunit ribosomal RNA", at positions 218 to 1399 of the family's 1533-position model. The record is from RNAcentral.